CCCUUAGAUGUCCUGGGCCGCACGCGCGCUACACUGAUGCAUGCAACGAGUUUAUAACCUUGGCCUGAAAGGUCUGGGUAAUCUUUUGAACGUGCAUCGUGAUAGGGAUAGAUUAUUGCAAUUGUUAAUCUUGAACGAGGAAUUCCUAGUAAACGCGAGUCAUCAGCUCGCAUUGAUUACGUCCCUGCCCUCUGUACACACCGCCCGUCGCACCUACCGAUUGAAUGGUUCGGUGAAGAUCUCGGACUUCGAUAUUUAUUCUUUAUUGAGUUUAUAUUGUGGGAAGUUAUCUAAACCUCAUCAUUUAGAGGAAGGUGAAGUCGUAACA
RNAcentral lists this ribosomal RNA (328 nucleotides) under uncultured eukaryote. RNAcentral's name for it is "partial 18S ribosomal RNA". It matches the Rfam family "Eukaryotic small subunit ribosomal RNA", at positions 1470 to 1796 of the family's 1831-position model. The record is from RNAcentral.